RNAcentral lists this ribosomal RNA (497 nucleotides) under uncultured bacterium. RNAcentral describes it as "partial 16S ribosomal RNA". It matches the Rfam family "Bacterial small subunit ribosomal RNA", at positions 30 to 523 of the family's 1533-position model. The record is from RNAcentral.
AUUGAACGCUGGCGGCAUGCUUUACACAUGCAAGUCGAACGGUAACAGGCCGCAAGGUGCUGACGAGUGGCGAAUGGGUGAGUAAUGCAUCGGAACGUGCCCAGUUGUGGGGGAUAACGCAGCGAAGGCUGCGCUAAUACCGCAUACGAUCUAUGGAUGAAAGCGGGGGACCGUAGGCCUCGCGCGAUUGGAGCGGCCGAUGUCAGAUUAGGUAGUUGGUGGGGUAAAGGCUCACCAAGCCGACGAUCGGUAGCUGGUCUGAGAGGACGACCAGCCACACUGGGAUUGGAACACGGCCCAGACGCCUGCGGGAGGCAGGAGUGGGGAAUUUUGGACAAUGGGCGAAAGCCUGCUCCAGCCAUGCCGCGUGCAGGAUGAAGGCCUUCGGGUUGUAAACUGCUUUUGUACGGAACGAAACGGUGAGCUCUAAUACAGUUUGCUAAUGACGGUACCGUAAGAAUAAGCACCGGCUAACUACGUGCCAGCCGCCGCCGUAA